GGGAAUGUGGCUUAGUGGUAGAGUGCUUGCCUAAUAGGCAUUAAGCCCUAGGUUCAAUUCCUCACUACCA
This 70-nucleotide transfer RNA is filed under the name Dipodomys ordii (Ord's kangaroo rat). It matches the Rfam family "tRNA". From Rfam's summary of the family: Transfer RNA (tRNA) molecules are approximately 80 nucleotides in length. Lineage: Eukaryota; Metazoa; Chordata; Mammalia; Rodentia; Heteromyidae. The record is from Rfam by way of RNAcentral.